GGCCUAACACAUGCAAGUCGAACGAUGAGGCCCCUUCGGGGGUACAUCAGUGGCGCACGGGUGAGUAACGCGUGGGAACCUGCCCUGGGGUACGGAAUAACUACGGGAAACUGUAGCUAAUACCGUAUACGCCUCAUGGGGGAAAGAUUUAUCGCCCUGGGAUGGGCCCGCGUCGGAUUAGGUUGUUGGUGGGGUAAUGGCCUACCAAGCCUGCGAUCCGUAGCUGGUCUGAGAGGAUGAUCAGCCACACUGGGACUGAGACACGGCCCAGACUCCUACGGGAGGCAGCAGUGGGGAAUAUUGGACAAUGGGGGCAACCCUGAUCCAGCCAUGCCNNGUGCGUGAAGAAGGCCUUAGGGUUGUAAAGCGCUUUCAGCGGGGACGAUGAUGACGGUACCC
This 399-nucleotide ribosomal RNA is filed under the name uncultured Alphaproteobacteria bacterium. RNAcentral's name for it is "bacterial SSU rRNA". It matches the Rfam family "Bacterial small subunit ribosomal RNA", at positions 45 to 480 of the family's 1533-position model. The record is from RNAcentral. Lineage: Bacteria; Pseudomonadati; Pseudomonadota; Alphaproteobacteria.